CAAUAAGCGGAGGAAAAGAAACUAACAAGGAUUCCCCUCUAGCUAACUGCGACUGAAGCGGGAAAAGCUCAAACUUAAAAUCUGGUGGUCUUUGGCCAUCCGAGUUGUAAUCUAGAGAAGUGUUACCCGUGUCGCGACCGUCUACAAGUCUCCUGGAAUGGAGCGUCAUAGAGGGUGAGAAUCCCGUCUUUGACACGGACUACCGAGGCUUUGUGGUGCGCUCUCAAAGAGUCGAGUUGUUUGGGAAUGCAGCUCAAAAUGGGUGGUAAAUUCCAUCUAAAGCUAAAUAUUGGCGAGAGACCGAUAGCGAACAAGUACCGUGAGGGAAAGAUGAAAAGAACUUUGGAAAGAGAGUUAAACAGUACGUGAAAUUGCUGAAAGGGAAACGCUUGAAGUCAGUCGCGUUAGCUGGAAAUCAGCCUUGCUUUUGCUGGGUGUACUUUCUGGUUGACGGGCCAGCAUCAGUUUUGACCGGUGGAAAAAGUCUGGAGGAAUGUGGCAUCUUCGGAUGUGUUAUAGCCUUUGGUCGUAUGCAUCGAUUGGGACUGAGGAACUCAGCACUUGUGCUUAGGAUGCUGGCAUAAUGGCUUUAAUCG
Molecule: ribosomal RNA, 596 nt
Filed under: Psathyrella longistriata
Lineage: Eukaryota; Fungi; Basidiomycota; Agaricomycetes; Agaricales; Psathyrellaceae
Description: partial large subunit ribosomal RNA
Rfam family: Eukaryotic large subunit ribosomal RNA
Source: RNAcentral